RNAcentral lists this ribosomal RNA (472 nucleotides) under uncultured bacterium. Its description in RNAcentral is "bacterial SSU rRNA". It matches the Rfam family "Bacterial small subunit ribosomal RNA", at positions 329 to 793 of the family's 1533-position model. The record is from RNAcentral.
UGGCAGACUCCUACGGGAGGCAGCAGUGGGGAAUAUUGCACAAUGGGCGCAAGCCUGAGGCAGCCAUGCCGCGUGUAUGAAGAAGGCCUUCGGGUUGUAAAGUACUUUCAGUCGGGAGGAAGGUGGUAAGGUUAAUAACCUUAUCAAUUGACGUUACCGACAGAAGAAACACCGGCUAACUCCGUGCCAGCAGCCGCGGUAAUACGGAGGGUGCAAGCGUUAAUCGGAAUUACUGGGCGUAAAGCGCACGCAGGCUGUCUGUCAAGUCGGAUGUGAAAUCCCCGGGCUCAACCUGGGAACUGCAUUCGAAACUGGCAGGCUGGAGUCCUGUAGAGGGGGGUAGAAUUCCAGGUGUAGCGGUGAAAUGCGUAGAGAUCUGGAGGAAUACCGGUGGCGAAGGCGGCCCCCUGGACAAAGACUGACGCUCAGGUGCGAAAGCGUGGGGAUCAAACAGGAUUAGAUACCCGCGUAC